GACGAACGCUGGCCCCGUGCCUAAUACAUGCAAGUUGAGCGCUGAAGGUUGGUACUUGUACCAACUGGAUGAGCAGCGAACGGGUGAGUAACGCGUGGGGAAUCUGCCUUUGAGCGGGGGACAACAUUUGGAAACGAAUGCUAAUACCGCAUAAAAACUUUAAACACAAGUUUUAAGUUUGAAAGAUGCAAUUGCAUCACUCAAAGAUGAUCCCGCGUUGUAUUAGCUAGUUGGUGAGGUAAAGGCUCACCAAGGCGAUGAUACAUAGCCGACCUGAGAGGGUGAUCGGCCACAUUGGGACUGAGACACGGCCCAAACUCCUACGGGAGGCAGCAGUAGGGAAUCUUCGGCAAUGGACGAAAGUCUGACCGAGCAACGCCGCGUGAGUGAAGAAGGUUUUCGGAUCGUAAAACUCUGUUGGUAGAGAAGAACGUUGGUGAGAGUGGAAAGCUCAUCAAGUGACGGUAACUACCCAGAAAGGGACGGCUAACUACGUG
RNAcentral lists this ribosomal RNA (497 nucleotides) under uncultured bacterium. Its description in RNAcentral is "partial 16S ribosomal RNA". It matches the Rfam family "Bacterial small subunit ribosomal RNA", at positions 28 to 507 of the family's 1533-position model. The record is from RNAcentral.